GUUGUAUGGUUAAGUGACUAAGCGUACACGGUGGAUGCCUUGGCAGUUGGAGGCGAUGAAGGACGUACUAACUUGCGAUAAGCCUAGUUGAGCCAGUAAGAGGCGCUUGAGACUAGGAUU
RNAcentral lists this ribosomal RNA (120 nucleotides) under Pseudoalteromonas caenipelagi. RNAcentral's name for it is "Pseudoalteromonas sp. JBTF-M23 partial 23S ribosomal RNA". It matches the Rfam family "Bacterial large subunit ribosomal RNA", at positions 1 to 112 of the family's 2925-position model. The record is from RNAcentral. Lineage: Bacteria; Pseudomonadati; Pseudomonadota; Gammaproteobacteria; Alteromonadales; Pseudoalteromonadaceae.